UUGGCAGCAGUCUCUGUAGUCAUGCAAAGAACACAGUGGGAAAUGUAAACCCUGACUACAUUCUUUCAAUGGCAGGUGAGUGUUACCAUUAUAAUAAAUCACUUGCUGUACUUUUCCUGCUUCUUAUUUUUCACUGAUGACUAGAAUGGAAGAGAAUAGUCAAUACUAAGGGAAAUUAGCUAAUGAUGUUUUCUCCCCAACCUGUCUGGAGACUGUAAACCAGGGGCUUUGUGAGCAGAGUAACAUCUGAAAGCAGCCUUCAAUGAUCUGCCUUUCAUUUCCACUCUUUUAGUGCCAGUGCCUCCCCAAGUCACCCAGAACCAGAAAAAGGUACCAUGGCAUUUAGACUUUGUCUCUGCAACAUCUGAUGCCAUGCAGCCAGUGACCAUGGGUUCCUUAGUGUUCCUAGGAGGCUUGGGAGGGUGAUGGGUGGGGUGUCAGUGAUAACAGCCAACCUAAGCAGUUAAGAUGAGCUUCACCAUGGCUGUGUGUCUCCGGAGCAUUUAACAGCACAACCUGGACCAGUUUAAGACCCAGUCCUUAAUGGUAUCUUACAGAAAGGCUAUUAUUAAGCAAAGAAUUCAUGUUGGAUCAAUUGCCUGUCCCACGUUACCAUAUUUCAGUUAGGAGCUAACAGCUUCCAUUAAUGUUUGAAGCUGUGAUCUUUGGAAGAUUUUAAAAAUACAACCAUAAUGUGAAUUGGGUUAUAUAAGCUUUACAGCACAGAUAGAGAUAAGGGAUAGAAACUAUGUGGGAAAUCACAUAAUCUCUCACUCCAGCCCAUCCUCUAGAGUUUGGAAAUCUGAUGAGUUCAUAUAUUCAAAGCUUUUGAUGGUACCUAGUAUGUAGGAAAUACUUGUGAAUGCUGACUCUGCUGUUGUGGUUGAGGCAGGAUGGAUGUGAGGGAGGUGAGACUAUGCUGGUUAAGCAGCAGGUGUGUGGCCUACUGAGGGGAGAGUUGGGCUCACUCCUUUGCACUCAUAGUCUUGGGCUCCCCCCAGCUGAGGCCAGCCUCCGCAGGACCAAUGUGCUCAUUUCUGCUGCAGCAGUUAAAUCAAACCAGCCAUCUUGCAGCCCAGGGUUUGUAAAUACUUGUUUGGGAUUUAUGGGUGCUUUGAGUUUCACAAGGGCUGAACCUUGACCAUUUAUCUGCUGAUUCAAGUUUUCUAGCCACACUUAAGUAAUAAAAAAAAAAAAAAAACUUACAAAGGUCAGAAUCUAGUCUGGAUGGCUUGUGGUAUUUGGUGGUAGAGAACAAGUUAUUAUAAACUAUAGAGGGAAAGAACACAUAGGAUGCUGUUGGCUUAGAUUCUUGCGAAGAGUCUCUGUCCCUUGUUUUAUGGUACGUUAGUGUAAAGCAUCUGUACUCACCACCACACAAGGCCUCCCUUCUGUCUGAGACAGUUAGGGUAUUAAUCUGUUGUAUCUCUGUUUGUCUACCUAUUUGGACACAAUUGGGAAGUUUCUAUUGCAUACAAGGACAAGUGGGUGAUGGUAAAGUUGCCACUUCUGAAUUGAAUGAAGGGCCUGUGUCUACUAUGCAAAUUCUGGCUCACACAUGCUUGCAAAGACUUAAGGAGCCUCAGAAGAAGAGUGGACAGGUUGAGUUCCAGGCUGUUAGCAGGAGCUGACAAGGGGAAACAUUCUGUGCUGCAUCCUUGGAGAAUAGUUGGAAGAAUCUUACUGUAACCAAGUUCUAGAGCAUCAGAGUAUGUGAAGGAAACAUGAGUCCCUGGUCUGGGUGGGAGACAGAGCACUGCAGCACCCUCUUCCGUUGUGUGAUCCAUUUCUAGCUCCAAGUCUAGAGGAGUGGUGCAAGGAUCAUUGUUUUACAGGCACCAGAAGCCCAGAGGUCUCUACAAACCACUCUGCUUGUUUGUGGUAACAUCCUGUGAUUUCUAACUAGUGAGCAUUGAGCCACAUGGAGGAAAUGUCUUGUGCUGUUCUGAGGGUUAGCAGAAACUCUCCUAGGAGAUUGGUUCUGAGUCCUGCAACUGAAGCACCUAGUAGUUUGCCAUUACUAGGAAAGGGCUUUAGGUCAAGUGACUUUCCGCAAUUACAUAGUGCUUGGUGGCAGAGCCCACACGCUCUUGACUGCUGUGCUCAGCUGAUUGUGUGCACUCCUUACCACCCUGCUUCCCAAGGUCAUUUGAGAGCAUGGUCCCUUCCUCUGUCUCUGGUAUAUUCUACUUCACGUUCUUCUAGACAUUGGGACUAUACUGUGUGUGCCUUACAAAACAGAACAAACAACACCAAUCCAACUCUCCUAUUCCCUUCCCUGUCCUAGCUCACGCUCUCUCUAGUUCCUUUGGAAAUGGAUUGUGAAUAAGUUCUAAGCCAGGAAGCCUGGUUUUUGCUAGCUGCAUGUUGGAAUAUUAAUUGUCUUGUGCUGUUACCAAAACUGUAUGUGAUGAAGUGCAAACUUAGUGGAUGCUUCUUGGAGAGAUCCCAG
Molecule: long non-coding RNA, 2452 nt
Filed under: Cricetulus griseus (Chinese hamster)
Lineage: Eukaryota; Metazoa; Chordata; Mammalia; Rodentia; Cricetidae
Description: lncRNA (ENSCGRG00015036620.1)
Source: RNAcentral